This 420-nucleotide ribosomal RNA is filed under the name uncultured bacterium. RNAcentral's name for it is "bacterial SSU rRNA". It matches the Rfam family "Bacterial small subunit ribosomal RNA", at positions 950 to 1382 of the family's 1533-position model. The record is from RNAcentral.
UUCGACGCAAAGCGAAAACCUACACCAAGGUUUGACAUACCAAUCGUAUCCCUAAGAAACUAGGGAGUCAGUUCGGCUGGAUUGGAUACAGGUGUUGUAUGGCUGUCGUCAGCUCGUGUCGUGAGAUGUCGGGUUAAGUCCUUUAACGAGCGCAACCCUCAUUGCAUGUUAAUUUUUCAUGCGAGACUGCCCUGGUUAACAGGGAGGAAGGUGGGGAUGACGUCAAGUCAGCAUGGCCCUUACACCUUGGGCUACACACGUGUUACAAUGGCCGGUACAAUAAGUCGCAAUACCGUAAGGUGGAGCUAAUCUAUGAAAACCGGUCCCAGUUCGGAUUGGGGGCUGAAACUCGCCCCCAUGAAGUCGGAAUCGCUAGUAACCGUGAAUCAGCACGUCACGGUGAAUACGUUCCCGGGUCUU